GUAGUCUCCCGCGCCGCCGUCCACUGCGCGCUUCGCUCUCCGCCGCCCGAGGCCCGCGCGCUCGCCAUGUCCCGGCCACCGCCACCGCGGGUCGCUUCGGUGCUGGGCACCAUGGAGAUGGGGCGCCGAAUGGACGCGCCCGCCAGCGCCGCGGCCGUGCGCGCCUUUCUGGAGCGCGGCCACACCGAACUGGACACGGCCUUCAUGUACAGCGACGGCCAGUCCGAGACCAUCCUGGGCGGCCUGGGGCUCGGGCUGGGCGGUGGCGACUGCAGAGUGAAAAUUGCCACCAAGGCCAACCCUUGGGAUGGAAAAUCACUAAAGCCUGACAGUGUCCGGUCCCAGCUGGAGACGUCAUUGAAGAGGCUGCAGUGUCCCCGAGUGGACCUCUUCUACCUACACGCACCUGACCACGGCACCCCAGUGGAAGAGACGCUGCAUGCCUGCCACCAGCUGCACCAGGAGGGCAAGUUCGUGGAGCUUGGCCUCUCCAACUAUGCUAGCUGGGAAGUGGCCGAGAUCUGUACCCUCUGCAAGAGCAAUGGCUGGAUCCUGCCCACUGUGUACCAGGUGAGGGCCGGGGCUGCAGAGGCCAAGGUCUCCAGGACUCCUGCUCAUCCUGGGCUCUCUUUGCCCCCCUGACUGCCCCCUGUGCCCUCUGCAUAGCAGCCACUCCCCUGCUGAAAGCCUGCAGAUGGCUCCCAUGUACCCUGAGGAUGCCAUUCAAGCUCCUCAGCCUGGCCACUGGGCAUCUGCUUCCUUCCUGCCUGACUGUGCACCUUGGACCCUCCCUUCCCCACCUCCUUUCAUACUUCAGCCUGGAACACAUUUCCCCUGCCCUCCUCCCUGGGAGAAGCACUCAGGCCUUACAUAGAGGUCUCCUCCUCUGGAAGCCUUUCUAGACAGCCCCACAGGAGUCUCCAGUCUCCAAAUCUCAUCUUCAUACAUUCAGCGAGUACUUUCCAGCUCCUUGUUUGAUUGUAGAACCU
This 989-nucleotide small RNA is filed under the name Pan troglodytes (chimpanzee). Its description in RNAcentral is "retained intron". Lineage: Eukaryota; Metazoa; Chordata; Mammalia; Primates; Hominidae. The record is from RNAcentral.